GACGAACGCUGGCGGCGUGCCUAAUACAUGCAAGUUGAGCGAUGAAGAUUGGUGCUUGCACCCAUUUGAAGAGCAGCGAACGGGUGAGUAACGCGUGGGGAAUCUGCCUUUGAGCGGGGGACAACAUUUGGAAACGAAUGCUAAUACCGCAUAACAACUUUAAACAUAAGUUUUAAGUUUGAAAGAUGCAAUUGCAUCACUCAAAGAUGAUCCCGCGUUGUAUUAGCUAGUUGGUGAGGUAAAGGCUCACCAAGGCGAUGAUACAUAGCCGACCUGAGAGGGUGAUCGGCCACAUUGGGACUGAGGCACGGCCCAAACUCCUACGGGAGGCAGCAGUAGGGAAUCUUCGGCAAUGGACGAAAGUCUGACCGAGCAACGCCGCGUGAGUGAAGAAGGUUUUCGGAUCGUAAAACUCUGUUGGUAGAGAAGAACGUUGGUGAGAGUGGAAAGCUCAUCAAGUGACGGUAACUACACAGAAAGGGACGGCUAACUACGUG
RNAcentral lists this ribosomal RNA (497 nucleotides) under uncultured bacterium. RNAcentral's name for it is "partial 16S ribosomal RNA". It matches the Rfam family "Bacterial small subunit ribosomal RNA", at positions 28 to 507 of the family's 1533-position model. The record is from RNAcentral.